UGGAAACUNUCUGACUUGAGUGCAGAAGGGGAGAGUGGAAUUCCAUGUGUAGCGGUGAAAUGCGUAGAUAUAUGGAGGAACACCAGUGGCGAAAGCGGCUCUCUGGUCUGUCACUGACGCUGAGGCUCGAAAGCGUGGGUAGCGAACAGGAUUAGAUACCCUGGUAGUCCACGCCGUAAACGAUGAGUGCUAGGUGUUAGGCCCUUUCCGGGGCUUAGUGCCGGAGCUAACGCAAUAAGCACUCCGCCUGGGGAGUACGACCGCAAGGUUGAAACUCAAAGGAAUUGACGGGGGCCCGCACAAGCGGUGGAGCAUGUGGUUUAAUUCGAAGCAACGCGAAGAACCUUACCAGGUCUUGACAUCCCGAUGCUAUUCUUAGAGAUAGGAAGUUACUUCGGUACAUCGGAGACAGGUGGUGCAUAGUUGUCGUCAGCUCGUGUCGUGAGAUGUUGGGUUAAGUCCCGCAACGAGCGCAACCCUUAUUGUUAGUUGCCAUCAUUAAGUUGGGCACUCUAGCGAGACUGCCGGUAAUAAACCGGAGGAAGGUGGGGAUGACGUCAAAUCAUCAUGCCCCUUAUGACCUGGGCUACACACGUGCUACAAUGGUCGGUACAACGAGUUGCGAGCCGGUGACGGCAAGCUAAUCUCUGAAAGCCGAUCUCAGUUCGGAUUGGAGGCUGCAACUCGCCUCCAUGAAGUCGGAAUCGCUAGUAAUCGCGGAUCAGCACGCCGCGGUGAAUACGUUCCCGGGCCUUGUACACACCGCCCGUCACACCACGAGAGUUUGUAACACCCGAAGUCGGUGAGGUANCCUUUUAGGGGCCA
Molecule: ribosomal RNA, 825 nt
Filed under: uncultured bacterium
Lineage: Bacteria
Description: bacterial SSU rRNA
Rfam family: Bacterial small subunit ribosomal RNA
Source: RNAcentral